AAGUAAAAGUCGUAACAAGGUAUCCGUAGGUGAACCUGCGGAUGGAUCAUUAACGUGUAAACAAGAAUAGUGAUACGAAAGGUCGACUGUUCUUAAUUAAACUCUGUUAUAACCCUUGUUGGUUCUAUUAGGAAAACUAGAUGUGAUGGGUGGUGGUUGAGGGCUGGUAAAAAAGGCUAUAGAACGCCACGAUCCUCUUCUUAAACUAAAAAACAUAAUUCAUUACCAUAAUUUAAUUCUAAAAGUAAACCUUGGUUGGAAAUUUGGGAAUAGAACUCCGUUCUGGAACGAAUCCACCAGUUAAAAAACAUUUA
This 314-nucleotide unclassified non-coding RNA is filed under the name uncultured fungus. RNAcentral's name for it is "sequence contains 18S rRNA gene, ITS1, 5.8S rRNA gene". The stretch from base 1 to 52 matches the Rfam family "Eukaryotic small subunit ribosomal RNA", at positions 1780 to 1831 of the family's 1831-position model. Lineage: Eukaryota; Fungi. The record is from RNAcentral.